Molecule: ribosomal RNA, 2106 nt
Filed under: Triticum aestivum (bread wheat)
Lineage: Eukaryota; Viridiplantae; Streptophyta; Magnoliopsida; Poales; Poaceae
Description: partial small subunit ribosomal RNA
Source: RNAcentral
AUGGCAAUUGAACCUCUCCGUGAUAAUCUGGACACCCUCGCAGCAACCAACCAACCAUAUGGUGAUUCCUCUUCCCAGCAGCAACUCACCGUGUACAACUACGACCUGAGUUGUCCACACUCAACAGUUCUCUCCCCAGCCAACCAAGUAAGUGUCAACAGCAGCCAUGGACAAAACAAAUUUCAGAUUGCUGCAGGGAGUAGCCCUGAGCACCACCGGAUCAGAUCAAACGAUGCUCUUCACUACAUAAGCCAGAUGCUGAUGGAAGACGUUGACGAGGUCGACAUAUGCCAAGGGGCUGCUCUUCAGGCUGCUGAGAAGCCAUUCCGUGACAUUCUUGGUGAGGUAUGCACACCGCCUACUAACUGGCCGCCAUUGAAUAGCAACAACAAACCAGACAACCCUGAUAAGAGUGGGACCAGUCGUUACAAGAGGGUCUGGAGCACUAGCUUCAGUAAUGACUAUUCCAGUUACAACAUGUUGCAACCUUUAGCAACCCCGUUGAGUCCAUAUAUAUGCAAUAGGAGUCCUUUUUUACCAAACCAGCCGUUGAUAAGUGUUGGAUGGACUUCCGGAUCUGGCUUCCUUGCCUUGCAUGGUCAGAGAGGUGUCAGGCAGGAAAGAAUGUUUGCUCCAAGUAUUGAUAAGCUGGUGAUAUAUUCAAAGAAUAACAUACUUUAUAUUUCCCAACUGACUACGAAGGCAAAAGUAGGAGAGAGGACCGAAAACACAAUCUUUGAGGUGGCAGACCCAAGGGGUUGGGAUAUCUUUCAAAGAAGGAGCAAUGAACAUCAUGCCAUCACCACUUGUGCAAUAAUUCGAAAUGAAAAUUUUGACCAAGUUCUGCUAUGCUAUGAUCGUUCUGACCGAAUAACAAGACUGCGAGAAAGGAUGGCGGGGGAAGGAAACAAGACCUCUCUGAAAGGCCGGAGCAGAAGUAGGAAGCAACCGAGGAAAGAGUUGGUUGAUCUCAGGACUCUCCUAAUCCACUGCGCACAAGCUGUGGCAGAACACAGCUACCUGUUGGCCAGUGAACUGCUAUUGAAGAUAAGGCAACACUCUUCAGCAGAUGGUGAUUGUACUCAGAGACUGGCAUUUUACUUGGCGGAUGGCCUCAAGGCACGCUUGGCUGGGACCGGGAGUCAGGUUUACCGCAACCUCGUGGAAAGGCAAACAAGUACCGCAGAUUGGUUAGAGGCUUAUAGCCUUUUUCUUGCAGCUUUCCCUUUCGGAAGGGCGUCAUACUAUUUUGCCAACCAAGCUAUUCUUGAUGUCUCACAAGGGAAACCAAGGGUACACAUCGUUGAUUUCGGCAUCGGCUUUGGCUUUCAGUGGCCAUUAAUGAUUCAGAUUUUUGCACAGCGAGAGGAGGGAGCCCCUAAGCUUCGGAUCACAGGUAUAGACGUUCCCCUGUCAGGUUUCCACCCCUGCAAAAUGAUCGAGGAGACAGGGAAGCGGUUGGCUGAUUACGCAAAUAGGUUCAAGGUACCUUUCCAGUAUCAGGGCAUUGCCGCUUCAAGAUGGGAGACAAUCAAAAUUGAUGAUCUUAACAUUGACGAGGUUGAAGUUCUCAUAGUGAACUGCAUGUUCCGGAUGAAGAAUCUCGGUCAUGAAACCGAUGCCGUAAAUGGUGCAAGGGAUAAGGUGCUCAAAACUAUGAGGAGGAUGGACCCGAAGAUUUUUAUUUCUGGCACGGUGAAUGGUUUACUCAGUUCUCCCUUCUUCAUACAACGUUUCAAAGAGGUUAUGCUCCAUUACUCUUCAGUGUUUGACAUGCUUGAUGCAAAUGUUCCACGGGAUAAUGAAGCAAGAAAGAUGAUUGAGAGGAUCCUGUUUGGGCAGGAUGCUCUUAACAUCAUAGCAUGUGAGGGUGCACAAAGAACUGAGAGGCCAGAAAUAUACAGGCAGUGGCAAGCAAGGUGCCUCAAGGCUGGGUUCCAGCAGCUUCCUGUCGAUCCAGCCAUCUUAAAGAACAUAGUACACAGGAAGAACUUACUGUUUCAUCAGGAAUUCUUUGCUGUAGAAGAUUGCGGCUGGCUGCUUCAAGGAUGGAAAGGGAGGGUACUUUAUGCUGUAUCUAAAUGGAAACCUAAUGAUGAUCAAUAA